GAUGAACGCUAGCUACAGGCUUAACACAUGCAAGUCGAGGGGCAGCAUGGUCUUAGCUUGCUAAGGCCGAUGGCGACCGGCGCACGGGUGAGUAACACGUAUCCAACCUGCCGUCUACUCUUGGACAGCCUUCUGAAAGGAAGAUUAAUACAAGAUGGCAUCAUGAGUCCACAUGUUCACAUGAUUAAAGGUAUUCCGGUAGACGAUGGGGAUGCGUCCCAUUAGCUUGUUGGUGAGGUAACGGCUCACCAAGGCAUCGAUGGGUAGGGGUUCUGAGAGGAAGGUCCCCCACAUUGGAACUGAGACACGGUCCAA
Molecule: ribosomal RNA, 315 nt
Filed under: uncultured bacterium
Lineage: Bacteria
Description: bacterial SSU rRNA
Rfam family: Bacterial small subunit ribosomal RNA
Source: RNAcentral